This 444-nucleotide ribosomal RNA is filed under the name uncultured soil bacterium. Its description in RNAcentral is "bacterial SSU rRNA". It matches the Rfam family "Bacterial small subunit ribosomal RNA", at positions 40 to 479 of the family's 1533-position model. The record is from RNAcentral.
CGGCAUGCCUUACACAUGCAAGUCGAGCGGCAGCGCGGGGGCAACCCUGGCGGCGAGCGGCGAACGGGUGAGUAAUGCAUCGGAACGUGUCCUCUUGUGGGGGAUAACCAGUCGAAAGACUGGCUAAUACCGCAUGAGAUCGAGAGAUGAAAGCGGGGGACCGCAAGGCCUCGCGCGAGAGGAGCGGCCGAUGCCGGAUUAGCUAGUUGGCGGGGUAAUGGCCCACCAAGGCGACGAUCCGUAGCUGGUCUGAGAGGACGACCAGCCACACUGGGACUGAGACACGGCCCAGACUCCUACGGGAGGCAGCAGUGGGGAAUUUUGGACAAUGGGGGCAACCCUGAUCCUGCCAUGCCGCGUGUGUGAAGAAGGCCUUCGGGUUGUAAAGCACUUUCGGACGGAACGAAAUCGCGCGAUCUAAUAAGUCGCGUGGAUGACGGUACC